GGGAGAAAAUUGGACAUACACAUUUGCUAAAUUUAGGUCCAGCACCUGUACUAAUCUCCCAGGUCAUUAUAUAAAGUGGUGGUCUCAUUUCAUCAAAGAGUUUCUCAUCUUCAAAUCUUCACACAAUUUUCCAACUUUCAAUUUGUACCUGAGGAGCUAUUAUGUAAAACUGGUUUUCCAGCAUUCCUUUGAAAAAGAAUGACAUGUCACUUCUAAGCUGCUC
Castor canadensis (American beaver) is the source of this 223-nucleotide non-coding RNA. Lineage: Eukaryota; Metazoa; Chordata; Mammalia; Rodentia; Castoridae. The record is from RefSeq and is a predicted model, not a curated record.